RNAcentral lists this ribosomal RNA (254 nucleotides) under uncultured bacterium. RNAcentral's name for it is "partial 16S ribosomal RNA". It matches the Rfam family "Bacterial small subunit ribosomal RNA", at positions 524 to 776 of the family's 1533-position model. The record is from RNAcentral.
UACGGGGGGAGCAAGCGUUGUUCGGAUUUACUGGGCGUAAAGGGCGCGUAGGCGGCCACCGCAAGUCAGUUGUGAAAUCUCUGGGCUUAACCCAGAAAGGUCAACCGAUACUGCGGGGCUAGAGUGCAGAAGGGGCAACUGGAAUUCUCGGUGUAGCGGUGAAAUGCGUAGAUAUCGAGAGGAACACCUGCGGCGAAGGCGGGUUGCUGGGCUGACACUGACGCUGAAGCGCGAAAGCUAGGGGAGCGAACGGG